This 1142-nucleotide long non-coding RNA is filed under the name Vigna radiata. Its description in RNAcentral is "long non-coding RNA (VRAD_LNC002687)". The record is from RNAcentral. Lineage: Eukaryota; Viridiplantae; Streptophyta; Magnoliopsida; Fabales; Fabaceae.
GGAGGGGGGUUUGAAGAGGUUUGUGACAGCAGCUGAAUUAAAUUGAAACGCAUAUGCAAACAGAAACAUUAUAACUAACAAAUAUUUAAACAUGAUUAAAAUAAAAUAAAAAUAAAAAUAAAAAUAAAAAUAAAAAUAAAAUAAAAUAAAAAAAAUAAAAAAAAUGAAACACUUAAGAUAAACAUAGAUAUGCACAUACGGGAAUGAAGCUUAAAAACAACAUUAGCAAAAACAAAACUUCAAUUACUUGAACCAAUAAAACCAAUAAAAACUAGACAUGAUGCAGCGGGAAUUAAAAUUUGUUAAACUUAAACUAAGAAAUGGAAGGGGACAUUGCAGUAGCUAGCAAUGCUAAUCACCACGACAACAAAACGUGUGCACAUUCUUCCACCAAUGAAUCAGCACCCAAAAUGGGAAUUACGUGUGUCACCUCCAACUUAAAUGAAAUGAAAAUAAGAAAGGCAUGUGCUGCAGCAAGUAAAUCACCUUCAAUUCCAAAUUGAAAUAUGCUUCCGUGAGAGACCACGUGUGUGCCUCCGUUCCAGCAAACACACCGAUUCCACCAUUCUAAAUAAAAUAAAAUGAGAUGUGUUCAUCCCUUCUAAUAAUAAAGCACAAUGCUUCCAGCAAAAGGAAAUUAAUCAAGCUUCUCCAAAGAAAAGAAACGAAAAUGUAUGCUUCUAUCAUUCAUCCAAAAUCAAAAAAUGUGAACAUUCUUCAAGGUUCUCUAAAAAAAACGCUACAGCACUGCCUAUAUGAAAACCACGUUCUGAAAAAAAACUCCCCCUCAGCAUGACGGCUGCCAGCUUUUUUUUUAAAUGAAGCAAUCCCAAGACUCUCCGUUACCCUACUGUUGAGAAUGUUUUCUCCUUUGGCAGUUGGACCACGUGUUCCAAUUUGAAUGCAACCCUUGUGUCCAAAUGAAGGCNUGCUUUCUCCAAUUUUCAAUUACCACCUGCACCUCCCUUGCGCUGCUGGGCCGUUUUUGAUGUGCAGCUGCCUAAGAAACACAUACAGCCAUAUGCAACUAGGCCNCGCUGUUGGCCUUUUUAAAUGUCCAAACGUGUGGUGCUUUUAUUUUUAAAACCGUAACAGCAGCCCAUUCUUCAAAAUGUGGAAAUUGAAGCAUAAGUGAAAUGUUA